Molecule: ribosomal RNA, 319 nt
Filed under: uncultured Bacteroidota bacterium
Lineage: Bacteria; Pseudomonadati; Bacteroidota
Description: bacterial SSU rRNA
Rfam family: Bacterial small subunit ribosomal RNA
Source: RNAcentral
AAGUCAGCUGUGAAAGUUUGGGGCUCAACCUUAAAAUUGCAGUUGAUACUGGCGUCCUUGAGUGCGGUUGAGGUGUGCGGAAUUCGUGGUGUAGCGGUGAAAUGCUUAGAUAUCACGAAGAACUCCGAUUGCGAAGGCAGCACACUAAGCCGUAACUGACGUUCAUGCUCGAAAGUGUGGGUAUCAAACAGGAUUAGAUACCCUGGUAGUCCACACGGUAAACGAUGGAUACUCGCUGUUGGCGAUAUACGGUCAGCGGCUUAGCGAAAGCGUUAAGUAUUCCACCUGGGGAGUACGCCCGCAAGGGUCGACGCGGCCG